ACAAGCGUACACGGUGGAUGCCCUGGCAGUCAGAGGCGAUGAAGGACGUGCUAAUCUGCGAAAAGCGCCGGUAAGGUGAUAUGAACCGUUAUAACCGGCGAUGUCCGAAUGGGGAAACCCGGUGCACUUCGGUGCAUCAUCGUUAGCUGAAUACAUAGGCUAACGAAGCGAACCGGGGGAACUGAAACAUCUAAGUACCCCGAGGAAAAGAAAUCAACCGAGAUUCCCCCAGUAGCGGCGAGCGAACGGGGAACAGCCCAGAGCCUGAAUCAGCUUGUGUGUCAGUGGAACGGUCUGGAAAGGCCGGCGAUACAGGGUGACAGCCCCGUACACGAAGGCACACAGGCUGUGAGCUCGAUGAGUAGGGCGGGACACGUGAUAUCCUGUCUGAAGAUGGGGGGACCAUCCUCCAAGGCUAAAUACUCCUGACUGACCGAUAGUGAACCAGUACCGUGAGGGAAAGGCGAAAAGAACCCCGGCGAGGGGAGUGAAACAGAACCUGAAACCGUGUACGUACAAGCAGUGGGAGCCUUCGUAAGAGGGUGACUGCGUACCUUUUGUAUAAUGGGUCAGCGACUUAUAUUCUGUAGCAAGGUUAACCGUAUAGGGGAGCCGAAGGGAAACCGAGUCUUAAUUGGGCGUUAAGUUGCAGGGUAUAGACCCGAAACCCGGUGAUCUAGCCAUGGGCAGGUUGAAGGUUGGGUAACACUAACUGGAGGACCGAACCGACUAAUGUUGAAAAAUUAGCGGAUGACCUGUGGCUGGGGGUGAAAGGCCAAUCAAACCGGGAGAUAGCUGGUUCUCCCCGAAAGCUAUUUAGGUAGCGCCUCGUGAACUCAUCUCCGGGGGUAGAGCACUGUUUCGGCUAGGGGGCCAUCCCGGCUUACCAACCCGAUGCAAACUGCGAAUACCGGAGAAUGUUAUCACGGGAGACACACGGCGGGUGCUAACGUCCGUCGUGAAGAGGGAAACAACCCAGACCGCCAGCUAAGGUCCCAAAGUCAUGGUUAAGUGGGAAACGAUGUGGGAAGGCCCAGACAGCCAGGAUGUUGGCUUAGAAGCAGCCAUCAUUUAAAGAAAGCGUAAUAGCUCACUGGUCGAGUCGGCCUGCGCGGAAGAUGUAACGGGGCUAAACCAUGCACCGAAGCUGCGGCAGCGACACUAUGUGUUGUUGGGUAGGGGAGCGUUCUGUAAGCCUGUGAAGGUGUGCUGUGAGGCAUGCUGGAGGUAUCAGAAGUGCGAAUGCUGACAUAAGUAACGAUAAAGCGGGUGAAAAGCCCGCUCGCCGGAAGACCAAGGGUUCCUGUCCAACGUUAAUCGGGGCAGGGUGAGUCGACCCCUAAGGCGAGGCCGAAAGGCGUAGUCGAUGGGAAACAGGUUAAUAUUCCUGUACUUGGUGUUACUGCGAAGGGGGGACGGAGAAGGCUAUGUCGGCCGGGCGACGGUUGUCCCGGUUUAAGCGUGUAGGCUGACUUUCCAGGCAAAUCCGGAAAGUUAAGGCUGAGGCGUGAUGACGAGGCACCACGGUGCUGAAGUGACAAAUGCCCUGCUUCCAGGAAAAGCCUCUAAGCAUCAGGUAACAUCAAAUCGUACCCCAAACCGACACAGGUGGUCAGGUAGAGAAUACCAAGGCGCUUGAGAGAACUCGGGUGAAGGAACUAGGCAAAAUGGUGCCGUAACUUCGGGAGAAGGCACGCUGACAUGUAGGUGAAGCCCCUGCGGGUGGAGCUGAAGUCAGUCGAAGAUACCAGCUGGCUGCAACUGUUUAUUAAAAACACAGCACUGUGCAAACACGAAAGUGGACGUAUACGGUGUGACGCCUGCCCGGUGCCGGAAGGUUAAUUGAUGGGGUUAUCGCAAGAGAAGCUCCUGAUCGAAGCCCCGGUAAACGGCGGCCGUAACUAUAACGGUCCUAAGGUAGCGAAAUUCCUUGUCGGGUAAGUUCCGACCUGCACGAAUGGCGUAAUGAUGGCCAGGCUGUCUCCACCCGAGACUCAGUGAAAUUGAACUCGCUGUGAAGAUGCAGUGUACCCGCGGCAAGACGGAAAGACCCCGUGAACCUUUACUACAGCUUGACACUGAACAUUGAGCCUUGAUGUGUAGGAUAGGUGGGAGGCUUUGAAGCGUGGACGCCAGUCUGCGUGGAGCCGACCUUGAAAUACCACCCUUUAAUGUUUGAUGUUCUAACCUGGCGCCGUGAUCCGGCGUGGGGACAGUGUCUGGUGGGUAGUUUGACUGGGGCGGUCUCCUCCCAAAGUGUAACGGAGGAGCACGAAGGUCAGCUAAUCCUGGUCGGACAUCAGGAGGUUAGUGCAAUGGCAUAAGCUGGCUUGACUGCGAGAGUGACGGCUCGAGCAGGUGCGAAAGCAGGUCAUAGUGAUCCGGUGGUUCUGUAUGGAAGGGCCAUCGCUCAACGGAUAAAAGGUACUCCGGGGAUAACAGGCUGAUACCGCCCAAGAGUUCAUAUCGACGGCGGUGUUUGGCACCUCGAUGUCGGCUCAUCACAUCCUGGGGCUGAAGUAGGUCCCAAGGGUAUGGCUGUUCGCCAUUUAAAGUGGUACGCGAGCUGGGUUUAGAACGUCGUGAGACAGUUCGGUCCCUAUCUGCCGUGGGCGCUGGAGAAUUGAGGGGGGCUGCUCCCAGUACGAGAGGACCGGAGUGGACGCAUCACUGGUGUUCGGGUUGUCAUGCCAAUGGCACUGCCCGGUAGCUAAAUGCGGAAGAGAUAAGUGCUGAAAGCAUCUAAGCACGAAACUUGCCCCGAGAUGAGUUCUCCCUGAGACUGUAAGUCUCCUGAAGGAACGUUGAAGACGACGACGUUGAUAGGCCGGGUGUGUAAGCGCAGCGAUGCGUUGAGCUAACCGGUACUAAUGAACCGUGAGGCUUAACC
Molecule: ribosomal RNA, 2890 nt
Filed under: Cronobacter sakazakii ATCC BAA-894
Lineage: Bacteria; Pseudomonadati; Pseudomonadota; Gammaproteobacteria; Enterobacterales; Enterobacteriaceae
Description: bacterial LSU rRNA
Rfam family: Bacterial large subunit ribosomal RNA
Source: RNAcentral